This 444-nucleotide ribosomal RNA is filed under the name uncultured bacterium. RNAcentral's name for it is "bacterial SSU rRNA". It matches the Rfam family "Bacterial small subunit ribosomal RNA", at positions 331 to 792 of the family's 1533-position model. The record is from RNAcentral.
CCAGACUCCUACGGGAGGCAGCAGUGGGGGAUAUUGCACAAUGGGGGCAACCCUGAUGCAGCGACGCCGCGUGAGCGAUGGAGUACUUCGGUAUGUAAAGCUCUGUCAGCAGGGAAGAGAAUGACGGUACCUGACCAAGAAGCCCCGGCUAACUACGUGCCAGCAGCCGCGGUAAUACGUAGGGGGCAAGCGUUAUCCGGAUUUACUGGAUGUAAAGGGAGCGUAGACGGUGAUGCAAGUCAGAAGUGAAAGCCCGGGGCUCAACUCCGGGACUGCUUUUGAAACUGUGUGACUGGAGUGCAGGAGAGGUAAGCGGAAUUCCUGGUGUAGCGGUGAAAUGCGUAGAUAUCAGGAGGAACACCAGUGGCGAAGGCGGCUUACUGGACUGUAACUGACGUUGAGGCUCGAAAGCGUGGGGAGCAAACAGGAUUAGAUACCCGAGUA